AGUUGCCAGCAUUCGGUUGGGCACUCUAGAGGGACUGCCGGCGACAAGUCGGAGGAAGGUGGGGAUGACGUCAAAUCAUCAUGCCCCUUAUGACCUGGGCUACACACGUGCUACAAUGGGCGGUACAAAGGGCUGCGAACCCGCGAGGGGGAGCGAAUCCCAAAAAGCCGACUCUCAGUUCGGAUUGCAGGCUGCAACUCGCCUGCAUGAAGCCGGAAUCGCUAGUAAUCGCGGAUCAGCAUGCCGCGGUGAAUACGUUCCCGGGCCUU
Molecule: ribosomal RNA, 269 nt
Filed under: uncultured Geobacillus sp.
Lineage: Bacteria; Bacillati; Bacillota; Bacilli; Caryophanales; Anoxybacillaceae
Description: partial 16S ribosomal RNA
Rfam family: Bacterial small subunit ribosomal RNA
Source: RNAcentral